GCCCCGGAAAGGAAUGUAUUUACCCACUUGCUGACUCUGAGGUCCAGGAGAAUAAGAGGAAAAUAACAUUCACUUAAGAGGGCUGCCAAAGAUUCAGUGUACUUAGGGGGAGGCAAAGUUUCAGAUAAGGCAAGGAAUUGAAGGCAGCAUACUGAGAUAAGUCUGAGGAUGUGGAAGAAUUUGCUGCUCACAGGUUGCGGAGGGCACGGAGGAAGGAUGUGGCUGAGGGCAGGGAGCUGGAAGCAUCUCGCCAGUGGGAGCACAAGGAUGGAGGUGAUAACAAAUGAGAAGGAACUCAGACCUGUGGUGAUGGCUGAGAGAGAGAGUGCACAAGCAAGAGAGCGCAACCUGGGGGAGUAGCAGGCAGAUGGAGAAACAGGAGGAAGGAGUCUGAUGUGGGACUCUAUCCCAGGACUCUGGGAUCUUGACCUAAGUUGAAGGCAGACGCUUAACCGAGUGAGCCAUCCAGGUGCCCUGGGGUCCAAAUUCUAACUCUACCACUCACCAGCUUUGAAUUGGAA
Molecule: long non-coding RNA, 521 nt
Filed under: Mustela putorius furo (domestic ferret)
Lineage: Eukaryota; Metazoa; Chordata; Mammalia; Carnivora; Mustelidae
Description: lncRNA (ENSMPUG00000025124.1)
Source: RNAcentral